CGCUAGCGGCAGGCUUAACACAUGCAAGUCGAGGGGUAGCAGGGAGCUUGCUCCCGCUGACGACCGGCGAACGGGUGCGUAACGCGUAUAGAAUCUACCUCUUACUAAGGGAUAGCCCAGAGAAAUUUGGAUUAAUAUCUUAUAGUAUGUUAACUUGGCAUCAAGAUAACAUUAAAGGUUACGGUAAGAGAUGACUAUGCGUCCUAUUAGCUAGAUGGUGUGGUAACGGCACACCAUGGCAACGAUAGGUAGGGGCCCUGAGAGGGG
Molecule: ribosomal RNA, 267 nt
Filed under: CFB group bacterium OI-1-1
Lineage: Bacteria; Pseudomonadati; Bacteroidota
Description: partial 16S ribosomal RNA
Rfam family: Bacterial small subunit ribosomal RNA
Source: RNAcentral